ACAUUAAAAAUGAAAAAAAUUGUUCAGGUUUAGAGAUAAAAAAAGAAACUUGCUUGUUUUUAAUUAUUCAAUCUUUGUGAUGGCUUGCCGCGUUGAUCACCAGAUGGCGUACCUACAUUCAAUGUGUUGUUUAUGACUAAUCAAAGUGGAAAUUACAUUCUCACAAUAUAUAAACUCUGAUAGUUGCACUCAUACGCACAUUCGUUAAUACAGUUUUAAUGUAAACUGCCUAUAAUCGAUUUAUAAACAAUAUUUCUUGAAACAAUUAAAUUGUUAAAAAUGAGGUUCAGUGCUUGUUUUGUUUUUUCAUUACUUGUCUUCAUUGUCAUGACUUUUGGAACAGGUGUUGAAGCGCUGAACAAGAGGAUAGACCGAUGUACCAUAGACUGCACACAGAGAUGCCAAAUGAAGGGAAGACCAACAGGGAGAUGCUUACGACGAAAUAUUUGUCUUUGCACCAAUUCAAUAGAACCAUGAGACUAUAUUGAGUUACAUAUUUGCACUUCUAUCAAGCUUAGAAGGAGAUCUAUCACCAUACCACAUGGCGUACUUUGGAUCCUGACAUCGAUCAAUAUAAAAUGAUAUAAACUACACAGUUUGAUUACUCAAAACUUGAUGAUGUUGGAAGUAUAUUGAAAUGGAGAAAAACAAAAUCGGAAAGCAAAACCCAGGCUCAAAAGUAGCUGAGGAUGAACCGCGUUGAUGACAAAACGCUAAGAUCUGGGACUUAAAUAAGCCGCUGAAAAGGAAACAUGUUCUUGGGGCUUUAGCUCGGAAAUGAUGCUUGUGUGGUGUUUCUCCUCAGGCAAUGAUGUACUUUCCAUAGUGCCUUGUAUGUUAGCUUGCUUGUCCUUCCACUUGCUCAUUGGAGGAUCCGUAUGACGCCUCCGUGAAUGAUGUAACGUUGUGGUGAAGGUUUUCGAAAAAUUAUAUAGGUGUAAUACUAGAAUUUACACGCCGAGAAGAAUGUACAAAGAUGUUGGAAUAUGACAGUUUUUUCAGGUUGACUUUGUAAUCACCUGCGAACUUUUAAUUUAUACAAUUUAAUUAAUUUAUGUAAAUAAAAUUUUGUACCAAUUACGAUUUUCCAAUUAGUUAUAUUGUUUAGUUGUACUUUUUAUGAACUAGCUGUUUGUAAUUCAUCAACUAGCUGUUUGUAAAACAUCAUUUUCAGCUAUGUAAUUUAGUUGGGUCGUGUGGUUCCCGGUCUAAAAAAUGGGCCGUGGGUUUUCGACACUUUACAAUAGGUCCAUCACUAUCUCAUGGAUGUCAUGUCAUAAAAGACGACUUAGGGAAGAUGCACACAUUAAUAAAAAACAUAGUAUGUUGUUAGCAUGUGCAGAUUGUAGAAGUCAUUAAAUGUUAUACAACUAAAGAUUGAUAUAGAAGUACAAAAGAGAAAUAUUGUUAAGUACUUAAUUGCCACUUAGUUUAACUAGUCUGACAAUAAACUUAAAGUCAUA
Molecule: long non-coding RNA, 1463 nt
Organism: Amyelois transitella
Lineage: Eukaryota; Metazoa; Arthropoda; Insecta; Lepidoptera; Pyralidae
Exons: 2
Source: RefSeq, a predicted model, not a curated record